This 429-nucleotide ribosomal RNA is filed under the name Bacteroidota bacterium. RNAcentral's name for it is "Bacteroidetes bacterium partial 16S ribosomal RNA". It matches the Rfam family "Bacterial small subunit ribosomal RNA", at positions 355 to 776 of the family's 1533-position model. Lineage: Bacteria; Pseudomonadati; Bacteroidota. The record is from RNAcentral.
UAGGGAAUCUUCCGCAAUGGACGCAAGUCUGACGGAGCAACGCCGCGUGAGUGAAGAAGGAUUUCGGUUCGUAAAACUCUGUUGUUAGAGAAGAACAGCGCAUAGAGUAACUGUUAUGCGUGUGACGGUAUCUAACCAGAAAGCCACGGCUAACUACGUGCCAGCAGCCGCGGUAAUACGUAGGUGGCAAGCGUUGUCCGGGUUUAUUGGGCGUAAAGCGAGCGCAGGCGGUCAAUUAAGUCUGAUGUGAAAGCCCCCGGCUCAACCGGGGAGGGUCAUUGGAAACUGGUUGACUUGAGUGCAGAAGAGGAGAGUGGAAUUCCAUGUGUAGCGGUGAAAUGCGUAGAUAUAUGGAGGAACACCAGUGGCGAAGGCGACUCUCUGGUCUGUAACUGACGCUGAGGUUCGAAAGCGUGGGUAGCAAACAGG